Molecule: ribosomal RNA, 380 nt
Filed under: uncultured bacterium
Lineage: Bacteria
Description: bacterial SSU rRNA
Rfam family: Bacterial small subunit ribosomal RNA
Source: RNAcentral
GACGAACGCUGGCGGCGUGCUUAACACAUGCAAGUCGAGCGGUAAGGCCCUUUCGGGGGUACACGAGCGGCGAACGGGUGAGUAACACGUGGGUGACCUGCCCUUAGCUCUGGGAUAAGCCUGGGAAACUGGGUCUAAUACCGGAUAUGACUCCAUAACGCAUGUUGUGGGGUGGAAAGCCUUGUGCGGCUAGGGGAUGGGGCCCGCGGCCUAUCAGCUUGUUGGUGGGGUGAUGGCCUACCAAGGCGACGACGGGUAGCCGGCCUGAGAGGGCGACCGGCCACACUGGGACUGAGACACGGCCCAGACUCCUACGGGAGGCAGCAGUGGGGAAUCUUGCGCAAUGGGCGAAAGCCUGACGCAGCGACGCCGCGUGGGGA